CGGGAACAAAUUGACAUAAGUCAUAACCAUUAUACGUUAAAACUAAAUUAAAUAAUAAAUCCUGAAGUAUUUUUAGUUUUGAAUAGCAAGACAAGUUUCCAGAAAUAUUAACUCACUCUCAAGUUUCGAAAAACUAGAAUAGAAGCGCGGCGAAUUAUCUCGAGUACCUGGCAAGCGUGCCCAAUGCGGCACACGUAUACAAGGGCACAUACCUCAUGCCGAUAGUGGCACAGACGGCACGAGCGCGCAAAACGACACAAAUGGCACACAGCGUGCGAGUAAUGAGCGCGACGAUGCACACUGGAAGAUGCUCGCGAGAUAUAGCCACACGUGCAAUAGUGCAAUGCGCACAAAGGUAAUGUCAUUCUGUGUGGUGUGGUAACGACGAGAAAGUGGAGUGCACGACUGCACGACGACAGUCGACAGUCGGCACGCUCAGGUGCGCGUUACACCUUAAAUAAUGUUAAUAUCAUUAAAGCCAUGUUUGCAUC
Molecule: long non-coding RNA, 491 nt
Organism: Dalotia coriaria
Lineage: Eukaryota; Metazoa; Arthropoda; Insecta; Coleoptera; Staphylinidae
Exons: 2
Source: RefSeq, a predicted model, not a curated record